GGGCGCAUAGCUCAGCUGGGAGAGCACCUGCCUUACAAGCAGGGGGUCAUAGGUUCGACCCCUAUUGCGCCCA
RNAcentral lists this transfer RNA (73 nucleotides) under Candidatus Epulonipiscium sp. RNAcentral's name for it is "tRNA-Val". It matches the Rfam family "tRNA". Rfam says of the family: Transfer RNA (tRNA) molecules are approximately 80 nucleotides in length. Their secondary structure includes four short double-helical elements and three loops (D, anti-codon, and T loops). Lineage: Bacteria; Bacillati; Bacillota; Clostridia; Lachnospirales; Lachnospiraceae. The record is from RNAcentral.